RNAcentral lists this long non-coding RNA (3527 nucleotides) under Equus caballus (horse). Its description in RNAcentral is "lncRNA (ENSECAG00000045556.1)". Lineage: Eukaryota; Metazoa; Chordata; Mammalia; Perissodactyla; Equidae. The record is from RNAcentral.
CUCACAGCCUCAGCACUGCUCACACAGAAUUCCUGCCAGUUGUAAACUUCCAGCAUGGCUGUAAGUAAGCACUGAGCCAAAUGUCCGCCAUAAACUGAUAUUCCAGAGGCUCUCCAUCCUUGCUACACCUGUCGCCAGAGUGGAAGUGCAAGUGUUGUAUUGCUCCAUGUCAUUAGACACAGAUAUCUUGGCCACAAUGGACUGAACCAGAGACUGGCUCCCUAGCUAAAAGCCAUAUGACAUAUAUGGUAGCCCAGUGGCUUACAAAGUAGCCAAGUGCCAGAUAAGUGUGCUCCUUUUUUGAAUGAAGACCAGCCAACCUAGUGAGAGCUUCUCUCUGGAGGAGUGAAUUAGUGACACAAGAAGUAAAAGGAAGAAAUAGAGGCAGGGUGGCCAUAGAGAGAACUCAAGAGUAGAGAGAGAAGCAGCUAGAAAAGAAGCGGAGUGUUGAGAACAGCAAAGUCACUAGAGUAGGUCCCGACAGGUGCUGUUGACAGAGAGGACAAGAGGAUCUUGGAGCUCCUGAGGAUCUGGAAUGAUGCUUCAAUUCCUUGUGAUACGUACUGUGGGAAAAUUGAGGUGCUUUCCUAACCCUCCUCAACUCCCCAAGGGUUUCUUGCGAGAUCCUGAUCACCUGAGGGAUCUCAAGCCUGUCUCCUCCUUCUGACCCAAAAUGAGUAAACUGAGACAAAAGGAGAUCAAGUAGAAUGGAAGCCUUCGUGUUGAAUGCACUGGAGGGGCCUUGGUGACUUGCUUGACAGAGUAUGGUGAAAAUGAUGCUGUGUGACUUCCACGCUUAAGUCACAAAGAUGCCACACCCUUCUGCCUUGUUCUUUUGUCACACUGCCUCUUGGAAUGUGGCCACAUGCUGCAAGGAAGCCCAAGCAAACUGUAGAGAUGCCACAUGGACAGAAACCAAGGCCCAUAGCCCCUAGUCCUGACUGAGCUCCCAGCUGGCACCAGCACCAACAUGCCAGCCAUGUGAAUGAACUACCUCCAGUCCCAGUCAAGCCACUCUACCUCACACCAUGUGGAGUAGAGAUGAGCCAUCUCUGUUGAGCACUUCCCAAUCACAGACACCUGUGCCCAGCUGAGACUGCCACCUCCCUACCCAAGGACAGAUAUUCUUCUGGUAAUGACAACCAAGUAAAGUGCAAGUGUUUGGAGCUAAUGGCUGCCUUGUUGCCCAGUGGAAGGUUGUAACUGUACGUUUGGGAGGAGAUUUAAAAGUAAGAGAAGAAUUCUUCCCUCCCCUCAAGGCUGUGUUGGCAUUUAUUUUUCCUGUCAUGGACAGUUUUUUGUUUCGUUUAUUGUUUGUGCUGUUAUUAUUAUGAGUAUUAUUAUUACUUUCCCUGAGGAGAAUUACACUGGAGCUUAGAAGGAGGGGGAGGUGAGGCUGCAAGGAAGAUAUGUAUGGUAGACCAAAGAAUAGGCCCCAAAUAUGUCCAGGUUCUAGCCCCUGGAACUGGUGACUCUGUCACCUUACAAGGAGAAGGGAAGUUAAAAGGCAAACAUUUUUAGAGUGAAUAGAAAAGUAGGACUCAACUAUAUCCUGUUUGCAAGAGACGCACUUUAAAUAUAAAAACACAAAUACUUUAAAAGCAAAAGAUGAGAAAAUGUGUACCCCAUUGCAAAUAGUAACUAUAAAAAAGCUGAGGGGCUGGCCCCAAGACCCAGUGGUUAAGUUCCCACGCUCCAAUUCAGCAGGCCAGGGUUUUGCUGGUUCAGGUCCUGGGUGCAGACAUGGUGCCGCUCGAUGGGCCACGUUGAGGUGGCAUCCCACAUGCCACGACUAGAAGGACCCACAACUAAAAUAUACAGCUAUGUCCUGGGGGGAUUUGGGGAGAAAAAGCAGAAAGAAAAAAAAAAGAUUGGCAACAGUUGUUAGCUCAGGUGCUAAUCUUUAAGAAGAAGAAGAAAAAAAAGCUGGUAUGGCAAAAUUAAUAUUGACCAAGUAACUUUCCAUACCAGAGAUAAUGAACAUUUCAUAAUGAAAAAAGGUCAAUUUAUCAAGAAGACAGAAUGAUCCUAUAUGUAAUAUACACCUAGAAGCAGAGCUAUAAAACUUACAAGCUAAACAGAGGAAUAGACAAAUUCAUAAUUACAGUGGAGUCAUUGAUAAAAACAUAAGUAAAAAAUCUGUAAUGAUAUAAGUUUGAACAAUAGUGACUUAUUUGUCAUAAUACAAAUUUAUAGAACACCACACCCAACAUUUGCAUAAGCAUAUUUUUUUAAGAUUCCAUGGAAACUACAUGAAGUGUACCACAUUAAACAUGACCACAAAUUAAUUGUCCCUUUUGCCAUCAAGAGGUAGAAUCUAUUUUCCCACCUUUUUAAUCUGAGCUGGGCUGUGAGUUGCUUUGACCAACUGAAUAUGGAAGAAUUGGUGUUAUACAACUUAUGAGUCAACAGAUUUGAGUCAAAUUCACUUUGACCCAACAGAUCUUUUAAAUCCCUAUGUUCAGAAAUUUAAGGAAAAGGGGAAAAAAAAAAAGAAAGCUGAUUUGGAGAGCUUUGUCUUGAGAUAACACUAAAACAACUAAGUGGAAGGUAGGGUACCAUAGAUUUGAAGAUAAAGGGAAUUUCAACAGGCUGCCGGAGUCAGCGCUCAGCUCUACCACUCACCAAAUGGGAAGCCUUUCACAUCUCACUUAGCCUCCGUCUGCCAGAGUUUCUUCAUCCAUAAAAUAGAAAUAAUAAACAUCCCCAAAAGUGCCUAGCACAGAGUAACGACUUAUUAAUGUUAAUGUGGUAAUGUUUUUAUUAAAUCAAGCACUCUGAAGGUCUCUGAAAAAAUCAUUAUAUUUAACUAUUAUAAUGAAAAAUUACAUUUAAGGAGGUAUUCAAUUGAUUUAUAUUCUGAAGCUGUGCCUUCAAAAACCGUUCUCAUCUGUAAUUUCCAAAUAAAAUUGCAUGUUUAAAAUAAUUCUAAAAUUAAAUAACAAUAACAAAUAAGUAAAGAUCAAAGCAACGGAAAUUUUAAGAGUGACAUGAUUCUGCUUCCAGAUCUAUCUGACCCCGUUCAUUGCCAGUGAAUUCCACUGGACUUCUUAAUUCAAGAGACAGUCCCUGGGUAAAGGAACUCUCAGCCAUAAAGGGAUUACUAAGAAACUGAAGCAGAGUGCUCUGUGAUGGGGUCCUCAUGGAGCCUGAGCAGUCAGGAAGAAGUUAGCUGUGGCAAAAAAAAAGAAGUAAAUUGUGGAUUCUGAUGCCAGCAGUGUUGGUGAAGAAGAAAAAGAAGAGGAAGGAGAAAGAGAAGAAAGAAGAGGAGGAGGGGGAGUAGGAGUAAGAGGAGAAGGAGAAGAAGAAGGAGGGGGAGGAGAAUUGGCAAGCGUUAGAGUCUACAGAGAUCUUAGAAGUUAUCUAAUCUGACUAGAGGAUGCUCUGCAAUCUCCCACGUGGUCGACAGUGUUGAUUUAUUUAUUUUUUAAAAAUUGUCACAUGACUUUUUAAUACAAAGGCUGUCCAGUUACUGAUGUACACACUGGUAAGCAGGGCCUCCUCUGCACAGUUUAACCUAUUUUGUG